CAGAGAAGCAAGUUUUCUGUGAACAAGUUCAGAGCAUUCUGCACAUCUCCUUGAAGGCAGUAUGAAUACUUGUAUCUUUUAAACAUCACUAAUACAGCACUGAUUUCAGAAGGGAAGGUGCCUCAUUUUCAGAAUCAAACUGAUACUGAGUAAGGAAUAAGCAGUUUCUCCAAGGAUUGUGGUGGUGUACAUCUCGGAUCUCCCUGAGGAAUGAAGCCAGUUGAUCUUUCUGCUGAACAAGGUGAUCCACCCAGACCUAGCAGCUGUGACUUGCUGUGAUUCACACGCAGAGGAAUGUGGUGAUAAAUGGGAUUUUUCAAGUCGGAAACAGAUCUGUGGGUUUGGAGGGCUGACCUACAACAUGCACCAUGGCUUUCUUUGCAGUCAAAUUCUGCAGUAACCUGUAAAACUUGUUUGCAGGUUGGAAGUGGUAGUUUUGGCAUCAUACCUCAACUGCUGUCAGCAAAGGCAGAAAGCACACAUGGCUGUUUCACUCCCAGAGAUACCAUAGCAGCUACUGCACCUGGUAUGACCCAGCUUUGCUGCAGGAAUGGUCUUUGCAUGCCCACAGACUCUGCUAUUGAUUUCACCGUGCUCCUUUCCCAGCAACCUGACACUGUGGAGCGCUGGCACCGAUGAAAUCUUUCAACAUGGAAGCUCUUCAUCACCAAGGCAUCUGAUGACUGGAUCACAGCAAAGCAUCUGAGAAGUCAUUUGUGUUGGUUCCUUGGAUGAGCUUUCAUGACCAUAUUGAAAUGAAAACAAAGCCACAGAAAGAACAGAAAAAGUCUUGAACUUCAUUCUCUUCAUUGUUUCUCCAUAGCCUAGCAAUUAUUCAUGAGAUAAUGACUGAAUUUUAAUAUACAUGGCAAAACAUGUUUCCAUUAAUAUUUGUGAAUGAGCUACAAUUAUGAAACUGGUUUGCUGUGUCUGAUUUUUUGCCAAACCUCUUCCAGGCGGACUAUUUUUGUCAUGGGAAUUGGCCAAAAACAUUUUAUGCUUAAGCAUAAAUUUAAGAUAAUUCAUUCUGGCUUUAUAUCAGUAUAUCUCAUUUUAGCUCGUGGCAUUUUCCUUAUUUAAAACAGUACAAAUCUCAGCAGCAUCUGACUUAGUAAAGUGAACCAUGGAAAGUGAGAGUCAUACUUUUUUAACAAAAAAACUGUCUGCCUAUGUCAGUACUAUUGAAAAAUGUUUGUGCCAUAAUAGUGCAUAAAUAAUAAUUAAAUCUUAGUCUGGGGCAAGGGAUUUCAAUCAUCAUUUCUGUAGCUUUUUUUCCCCAUUUUUCUCACACAAUUUGUAUAAUUUUUUUAUACUGAGCAACUUUUAAAAGAGUAAAUGUAUUUGCAUAUAUAAGUCAAAUUUAGAAAUGAGAAACAUGAGAAAGCUUUUUCAUGGAAACAGCAUCAGGAAAUUGUGGAGAAAUAAAUAUUGUAUCUCAUCUCUGACCA
This 1448-nucleotide long non-coding RNA is filed under the name Zonotrichia albicollis (white-throated sparrow). RNAcentral describes it as "lncRNA (ENSZALG00000017316.1)". The record is from RNAcentral. Lineage: Eukaryota; Metazoa; Chordata; Aves; Passeriformes; Passerellidae.